This 709-nucleotide ribosomal RNA is filed under the name uncultured bacterium. Its description in RNAcentral is "bacterial SSU rRNA". It matches the Rfam family "Bacterial small subunit ribosomal RNA", at positions 141 to 851 of the family's 1533-position model. The record is from RNAcentral.
GGAUAACCUUGCGAAAGUAAGACUAAUACCCAAUGAUAUCUCUAGAAGACAUCUGAAAGAGAUUAAAGAUUUAUCGGUGAUGGAUGGGGAUGCGUCUGAUUAGCUUGUUGGCGGGGUAACGGCCCACCAAGGCAACGAUCAGUAGGGGUUCUGAGAGGAAGGUCCCCCACAUUGGAACUGAGACACGGUCCAAACUCCUACGGGAGGCAGCAGUGAGGAAUAUUGGUCAAUGGACGAGAGUCUGAACCAGCCAAGUAGCGUGCAGGAAGACGGCCCUAUGGGUUGUAAACUGCUUUUAUAAGGGAAUAAAGUUAGUCUCGUGAGACUUUUUGCAUGUACCUUAUGAAUAAGGACCGGCUAAUUCCGUGCCAGCAGCCGCGGUAAUACGGAAGGUCCGGGCGUUAUCCGGAUUUAUUGGGUUUAAAGGGAGCGUAGGCCGGAGAUUAAGCGUGUUGUGAAAUGUAGACGCUCAACGUCUGCACUGCAGCGCGAACUGGUUUCCUUGAGUACGCACAAAGUGGGCGGAAUUCGUGGUGUAGCGGUGAAAUGCUUAGAUAUCACGAAGAACUCCGAUUGCGAAGGCAGCUCACUGGAGCGCAACUGACGCUGAAGCUCGAAAGUGCGGGUAUCGAACAGGAUUAGAUACCCUGGUAGUCCGCACGGUAAACGAUGGAUGCCCGCUGUUGGUCUGAAUAGGUCAGCGGCCAAG